AGUGGUAUGGCUGGAUCUUGUGGUAGAAUUAUAUUCCUAGUUUUCUGAGCAGCUGCCAAAUUGUUUCCAAUAUGAUUGUACAAGUUUGCACUUCCAACAGCAAA
RNAcentral lists this microRNA precursor (104 nucleotides) under Trypanosoma congolense IL3000. The record is from RNAcentral. Lineage: Eukaryota; Euglenozoa; Kinetoplastea; Trypanosomatida; Trypanosomatidae.